This is a long non-coding RNA of Pogoniulus pusillus (Red-fronted tinkerbird), 670 nucleotides long. RefSeq lists it as uncharacterized. The record is from RefSeq and is a predicted model, not a curated record. Lineage: Eukaryota; Metazoa; Chordata; Aves; Piciformes; Lybiidae. The transcript is spliced from 3 exons.
CCAGGUUUGCAGACUGUGAUGGAAGCAGGAGCAGAGGAGUGAAUUGAAGACUUGUAGACCUACUUUGAUCACAAAUUCACUUUGCAGGUCCAGCAUCAGGCUCUGGCUCUGCAUGAUGCUCCGGUCGCUGGGUUGGGCAUAGAGGAUGGCCACCUCCUUCUCGUUCUUCAUCAGGUGCAGGAUUUCUGUAUGCUCUUGCCUGUUGGAAACAAGCAGCCUGAGCUGGGAUUUGCUCUGCACAAAGACUAGUUGAAGAGACUUUUUCUUUUCUACUGCAUUUUUCAUUUGCUGCUGGCAAGCUCCAAAGGCCAUGAAUACUGGAUGAGAUGAGAUGAGAUGAGCAGAGAGAAAAUGUUUCAGAUGGGUCACAGGAGGGGAAAAUUCUCUAGCUUCCUAUCAAUCUCCUUCCAUGGGAAGGAUUGGAGCUAGGGGCAAGCAACUGCAUCCUCAUACCAUGCUUAAAUUAGUGCCAUUCUCCUGAUUGCAGUGGUGUGUCAUACAAGACAGCUUUUGGACUGGUGCCUUUUUGGAUCUUCUCCAAAGUCAUACUAGUCAGAUGGACUCCUGUUGACCUCAGGCUGGAAACAGCUUUUAUAGCUCCUCCUUCCACCAGUUUUAAUUCCUGGAAUAUGUGGGAAGAUAGUAGCUAGAUGUCACAGAAUUUCUUAGG